This is a long non-coding RNA of Mytilus californianus (California mussel), 15365 nucleotides long. RefSeq lists it as uncharacterized. Lineage: Eukaryota; Metazoa; Mollusca; Bivalvia; Mytilida; Mytilidae. The record is from RefSeq and is a predicted model, not a curated record. The transcript has 5 exons.
UAUAAUAUUUAUUAUACCAAUAACAUUAGUAAAGUUCAAUAAAUUGCAUAUAAAUUCAACAAUGUAAAAUAACAAAAAUACAACAGACAACUGUUCUGACAAAUAGCCUUUCUUAAAAAGGGUCUAUUAAAUAUGUAAAACUUUAUUUAUUCACAAAUUUCAUUUAUGAAUAUAAUUCCUCCCAACCUAAUCCUUAUAUCAAUAGUAAUUUUUUAUUUUUAACUAAACGGACCUUAUUUUAAACUAGCGCCGGCAAAGUAAUACUUAUGUCUCUUGAGACGGUCCCUCACAUUUAUCUAACAAUAAUUACAUACCUUAUAGGUCAAGGACACUGGAGUGUUUGUACACAAAAAACGUGUUUCGCCCAAGUAGACUGAUGCAGUCUGGAAGGUUUGAGGGUGGCUUGAUGCAAGCCGGCUCAAUGCAGCAACUCUUAGAUGUAGCAAACAUUCCAGUAUUUAUACUUAUUGAAACAAUGGAAGCAAGCACACCGUGAAAAACAACAAUUUUAUUGCGUAAGUGAGGAGAUAAAUGCCGAGAUCUUCGAAAUAACUUUGAACCCAAGGACAGCAUUGGCUUAAGUUGACCAGUAAAUUUAAUGAAUAGAAAAUGCAGCAUGUCCAUCUACUUCCGGUCAACAUGCUUCGGAAAUAGGGCAGAAAUUUGAUAAAAUAUACUUGAAGCAAAGAAGCAAUGGUCCAAAAGGCUGAUUGUCUUACUCACAACAUCUACAAUAUAAAUAGAUCUUGAAGAUACUACAUGUAGUACAUUUGAAAGUUUGGGUCCAGCCAUGCUUCAAAACUUUUCAAGGUGCACAGGUUUGUCUGUACGCGGAGAGAAACUGGUGGUGUAAAUACGACAAUAUUUGCCUAAAGGUUAUGAUUAUGUUCAACAUUUUAUUAGAACAUCAUGUGGAAAGUGCCCUUAAGUUUAACUUAAUUAACAGUUAUACGUACAAUGUCAUGUAGUACCUUUUAAAAGUCAUCUGAAAGAUUUAAGGUGUAUGAAACGAUGCAUAUAGAAUAAUGGCAAUUUUGUUUUUGAUACUGACUUCGUCAGCAAGAAUAUCAAGCGCGCCCGCUAGGGUGAGCUGAUAUUCGAGCUGAUGAAGUCAGUAUCAAAAAAUAAAAUGGCAUUAUUCUGUUUAUCGGCAAUUUGUCAUAACUAUAUUUUUUUUUUGGUUGAGAAUAUGAAGUUAAAUGAAAUAGUUAGUAACAAAACGUUGGGAUAGUUGUUCGGUUGUAUGCAUGAAGUCGCGGGCAUUUCAUUGAUAAAUUGAUGCGGAUGGACUUGAGCAUGCGACGUUGCUGACUGAUACAUGACGUCAUUGCCUAAUCAAAUAUUACUUUAAUUUAACAAAACAACUGUCAUCAAAUUACUUUAAUUUUGCAAACACACUUUGAAACCGCUGCAGCUUACAUAUUUUACUAAGUAAACAUAUCUCCAAAAAAAUAAAAUUAAAGAAAUAGAUUCUUUCAAACCUUUCUUAUUUUAUACUUUUAAGAUCUCCAGAAUAACGUAAUGCGUUACAAUGAUAAUAAAAAAAAACAAUUUUGCUGCACAAAGAUUGUGCUUCAAAUGGUCAGUAAAAGAAAAUAUAUUUUCAAUUUAACCUUUUACCACCAAUAAUCAAUCCGUGCUGUUGAAACAAAGGAACUUUAAACUAUGCUUAGGUGACUAGUGCUAUGUUGAAAUAAUUUAAAUCUAAAUACUAUAGUCAAAAUCAUCACAUGUAAAGCGUAUAACAAAAACACCAAUGUGCCACAGAUAGUUGAUAAAUACAUUCAAUUGGCUCACUCCUUUUAAAAGUGCACAUUUAAUGUAUGUUUGUUACGAGAAUGCUCGUAUACAAAUCUGAGCCAUAAAAGUAGGUAAAGUCAUAAAAAGUUGACACAAUCAACGACAAUAUUCUCAUGUAUACAAAUAUAAAAAAAAUAAAAUGCCAUUAUUCUGUUUAUCGGCAAUUUGUCAUAACUGUAUUUUUUUUUUUUUGUUGAGAAUAUGAAGUAAAAUGAAAUAGUUAGUAACAAAACGUUGGGAUAGUUGUUCGGUUGUAUGCAUGAAGUCGCGUGUAUUUUAUUGAUAAAUUGAUGCGGAUGGACUUGAGCAUGCGACGUUGCUGACUGAUACAUGACGUCAUUGCCUAAUAUUUUUGAGAGUCAAGUCCUGUCCAUGAUCUUAAAAAUAUUUGGCAGUAGAAUCAACAGGAAAAUGUACAAAUUGCCGAUAAAACUAUAUAUUGUUUGUUUUGAAAAAAAAAUUAAAUUAAAGAGAACCACAAGUAAUGUUAUUUCUAUUUUAUAUAUUUCAUUUAGUAAAUAAAGGCAAUAGUAGUAUACCGUUGUUCAAUAGUCAUAAAUCGAUUUAACUGAAACAAAUCCGGGUCACAAACCAAAACCGAUGGUACACAUCAACUAUAUGAGGAAAACAGUACGUAAGUAAUUAAUAAAUUGUAUUAAAAGCUGACAUAUACGUAAACAACUACUAUCCAACUUGAUUGCUAAUGAGUAAAACAUUUGUAAAUCAUUUUGAUAUAACAAUUUCAAAUUUUCAAUUCUAAGUUUUGUGAUCUUACAGAGCAAAUUAACCAAAGGAACUUAGGUACAGGAUUUUUAUAAUUUUUUUUUCAUUGUUUGCACUGAAUAUCAAACGUUCUAAUUCCGAAUACCUAACACUACUAAGCUGGUCCUAUCUUGUUUUGGGUGAAUUUAUCAACUCAGAUACAACUCCUUAUUUUACUAUCCAAUGUUAACUAUUGGAUUUUAUUUUUUUUUGCCAUUGCAUUAUGAGUGUUUUCAACUAUUGAGUUUAAAUAUCCCUUUGGUAUCUUUCGUCUCUCUUUUACAAUAAUGUAUUUAUCAUUGUUUAUUGACAUUUUUGUAAAAGUGAACAUAAACCAGAAAAGGAUGUUAAGUAUGCCAAACUUUAUGUUCUACAUUCCAAUCUUGUUAACUUUACUGUAUUAUAAUUGUGUAAUGUUGCUUUAACCUGUUAAAACGCUCCCAUAUAAACAAAGGUUAUCCACUACAAACAUAUUAUUUCUAAUUCGUGUCCUCAAACGCAAAUAAAGUAUUUAUGAACAAAGUAUAAAGAAUAUAUCUAUAGAAACAGCUCGCCUAGACGAGUGCAUCAAAGAUUACUUUAAAAACAACUGUCAUCAAAUUACUUUAAUUUUGCAAACACACUUUGAAACCGCUGCAGCUUACAUAUUUUACUAACAAAUCUCAAAAAAAAAUAAAAUUUAAGAAAUAGACUUCUUUCAAACCGUUCUUUAAAAUAAUAUCUUAUUUUCUACUUUUAAGAUCCCCAGAAUAACGUAAUGCGUUACAAUAAUAAAAAAAAAAAACUUUGCUGCACAAAAAUUGUGCUUCAAAUGGUCAGUAAAAGAAAAUAUAUUUUCAAUUUAACCUUUUACCACAAUUACCAAUCCGUGCUGUUGAAACAAAGGAACUUUAAAUUGUGACUUAUUGCUAUGUUGAAAUAAUUUAAAUCUAAAUACUAUAGUCAAAAUCAUCACAUGUUAAGCGUAUAACAACAAAUCCCAAUGUGCCACAAAUAGCUGAUAAAUACAUUCAAUUGGCUCAUUCCUUUAAAAAGUGCACAUUUAAUGUAUGUUUGUUACGAGAAUGCUCGUAUACAAAUCUGAGCCACAAAAGUAGGUAAAGUCAUAAAAAGUUUACACAAUCAACCACAACAUUCUCAUGUAUACAAAUAUUAGAUUGAUAUUUGAAUUUCGAAAAUCUAUUACUCGGUAGAGAAACUCAGGUGACAAAAAUAAAAGUUAAUAAAAUCCGAAAAAUGAAACAAGUGUUCAAUUGCAUGCAGGAUGUGUUAUACUCAAAAGAUAACUGAAGCACAGUGAUCAAGGAAUUGUGAGGAGUAUACGUUAAUGACACAACACACCAACAAAAUCAUACAAUCGGAUUAGUCUCACUAUUAGGUCAUCACACGGUUAUUUCCCCCAAUAAUAUGAACAUUUUAGUAACUUCCAACGAAGCGCAGUUGCUAUUUAGUGAUGAAAAAUAACACCUUAUACUUAACACUUAAGGAGGUUCGCUACUUAGUUUCAAAAUAACAAGCUUUUUGUUACACUAGUAUAUAUUGAUAGGGGAUUAAUAAAGGAACCAAAAAAGCAAAAAAAAAUAUAUAGGUAAAUGUGCUUAUUUUCAAUAUAUAAGCCAUUGAAAUUUUGGCGGGAAAAUGUUCUCUCUUGAUUUUUCAUACCUUUAUCAGUGACAAGUUUAAGUUCCUAAAAACCAUUAAAAAUAACAAAGAUUUUAUAAGACUUUUACAGAUGGCUAAUAAUUAUACUUGUAAAAGAUUUAUAAAAAGAAAAAUGGGGGUCAAUGGGCAAAAAUUAUCAAGGCAUUUAAAUGGAUAAAACCAGAGGAUUCCGAAAAUCUGACAAAAAUCCCAAAACAUGACAAGAGAACAUCCUUAAUUUUCUUGCGUCCGAAGUGGUAUUCCAGAUUUACUUUUAGUAAGGACUCAAAUUCAAAAAUUUUUAAGCCAAGGAUGUAUCAAUAAGAGCUUACACAACGUAUAUUACCGUUAUCGGGUAAGUCCGUUGAUAUCUAACGAGAUGUUCACAAACGUUGUGAUAAAAUGCCCGUUUUUUUCAAAUUAUGUGUAAUUGAUAUGACCAGUGUUUUCAUUAGUUUAGAGAUCGAUUGUUUAGGACAGCACACAUAUUAAUUGUUAGUAUUUUUAUACAAAUAAUGUUAAUAGUUGAAAAUUAAUUUUUCCAAAUUAAUGAAUAUAUCAAUAUACGUCUAACAAACAACAAUCAAUCAACCACUGAACUAGGUAAAUGCUGAUUUGUUAAUUUUUCCAGUUAUCAAAUUCUCAUCCGAUCGGUUCAUGGAUUGAGCGAAAGCAUGCGCACUUCAAGUUCGAAAUGUCGCAGUUAUAUUCUUGGCCAAAUCAAUCAUAAAUCAAGGCUUACUAUUAAGUAUUUGCUUUGUCUCCGCAAAACAAAACAAAAUAUUUGUAUGAAUAUCUGUUUGCCCUCUUCGAUUUUUGCCGUGGAGUUGUCAGUUUUUGUUCUAUAUGUUGUUUUAAAUGUCAACUUGGUAUCUUUUAUACACCAUCACAUCAUGAUUACAUAUGUAACACGUCUUUGAUUGUAUUAUAUUCAUUUUAUUUAGGGUAUAUUGCAUAUUUAAAGUCGCGGAAGUUAAACCCAAAUGUAUAUAAAACUAAAUAGAAUGCGAUUGAAAUUAACCUUUACAUAGCUUGCAAUUUAUUUUUCAAACCUUGAAGAGGGAGGGUGAUUAUGAGUAAUUCCGUAUUGUUUAGUUUUUCAUUUAUAAUUGAUUAAUACGCUGGAAACAAAAGAAGAAAAAAAAAGUAAAUCGCCCAUACAUAUGAAACUCUUCAUUGUUUAACACGUUCCCCGAAAGGACGCCAUUGAGUAUAAGUACAAAAGAAAACGGUUUGCUGAGAUUACAAAUAAUCAAAAUAUUUAAAAGGAUCAACAAGCUUCUUAAUUCCGUGCUAGCGUUAUGUUGAUAUUAGUUAUUUGAAUAUGGGAGACAUGAUAUUAAAUCUAUCAUUAUUAUUCCCGUCCGAAAUGCUUUAACUCGGGAAAUGUUAUUUAUUCACGCUAUUUACAGAGUUAUAUGUAUCGAAGGUUUAGUAAUUUUAAUACUUGCCCUGAAACAAGAAUAAUUGGCGAACUUUUUAUUAGUUAUCCGGUAACUAGUAAAAUAUUGUAAAGUAAACUAAUAGAUGAAUCAUAUAUUAAAUUUAUAUCAAAUACAGAAAUGUAAAAGCUUGAGUUGGAGUUUAUGUAUGACCUCUUGUUUAGGUCUCUAUGGGGACAAACAAACAUCGAAAUUGGUUCUCCAAGAAAUCCGUUAUGAAAUUAUAGAUAGAAACUUGAUAUCGUGUAAAUAAUCAACAAGUUAAAAGUUUACUCAAGGGUUUCGAAUUUAGAUUUUUUGGCCUACGAACAAAAAAAGAACAAAAUGCUUUAGAAUUAUCCAUUAUAAGUGAAACAUGUUAUAUAUAUAGCACGCCUUUUACGAAUUUACGUUUUUAAUUCACGAAAAGCGUAGCUUUGAGUGGAUUAAAUAUGUUAAUGAGUAAGGCGUGACUAUAUAUGAUUUGUAACAUAAAUGAGCUAUGAUACACGUCAAAGGUUAAAUGCUGACCAAUAAAACGUUUCUGCACUUUUCCAUAUGUCAAUCAAAUAGUGGCGUGAUACUAUAUCUGAUUUCCAGAAAAUUAACACAUGCAGCAGAUGUCAGGGGGAUUUGUAUGUCAGAUAAAAGUACAUUCAAAUGAAUUGUUGCCGUGGGAUUCAGGCUCGAUAUCCAUUUACGUGUUAUUGAAUAUUUUGUCUCCCCAAAAACUAUUGAUAAAGGAGGGGGGGGGGGUGCAAAAUUUUAUUCGAUGUUUAUCUACCCUCCAACUUGAAAAUGACGUGUAGUUUCAAAGGAGUUUUAUCGUUGUGAUAAGAAGGAAACAUUUUCUAAUACCAAUUAUGAAGGUAACUAAUAAUAUUCUUCCAUUCCCAAGAACUGGAAAAAGAUUGGUUAAUUGAUUGCAAUGGUUGCAUGUUGAAUUGGUGUAAGAUCCAGGGACAAAUAUUUGAAGCAAUUCACGGAGAUAGGCCUUUAUAGAAUGAAGAAAAUUACUAAACAUCCAAUGACAUGUAUUUUUUAGAAUAUUAUUAAUUUCGACAAGAUAAAAACAGGUAUCCAACCAAAAUAACAGUAAGAAAAUUUUUAGUCAUUUCUAUUACAUUUUGUUUUAUUCUUUCAUUAAGUGGAUGAAAUUAAACGAUUUAAAUUCCAAUGACAAUUUUUUUGAAUAUUUAUAUUGACAUGAUAAAAACAAGUAUCCACCAAAUUAUCAAUAUCGCUUCUUCGUUUAUAGACCACGGUAUUCGUUUUUGUAGCUCUCCUCGAGCAACCAUUUAUUUCCAGUACAAUGUAUAGGGAACCAUUUUUAAUUUAGGGUUAGGUUUAUAAGUUUGGCUAGUGUUAAGGUAAGCCCCUCCCCCCUUUUCUUGAUUUGUUAUAUAUUGUUGUGUAUGCAUUUUGUUUACAUUUAUGAGGACAUUUUACGGUCAUUGAUUUCAUAGUUUACUGGGCCAAGGAGGCGGAGCUAGACAGUGAAAUAGCAACUUUUGAGAUAGAAGUUAGAGCACUGGUCUAAGAUCCUCCCAUGCCUUGCUUUUCCCAUGACAAGCGACACACGGCGGGACUGGAGAGUGCAAUAACUAAAAAUCAUUCAGUUAACGCACUUCUCUAAAAAUAACCGAAGUUAACUUACUCGAAGAUCAAAGGAAAAAUUACCAUUCAUGUCACAAAGUACAAAUAUUUGGGAUAGGAAAUAGAAACUUGACUCACGGCUUUCCUUAUACAGGGGCAUUACAAAUUAUUGUGUCGAUAUUUUUUGUAAGACCCCAAGGAGCAUAAUCUCUAUGUUUGUUAAAUAAAUCAAAUAUGAUUGUCCUAUAACUCCAUUCACACUAACAAAGAAACACUGAAAUCAUAUGUUGUAUAUAAGAUGCCAAUCUACUUGAUCCCAGUAUUUCAAAUGGUUUAGAAAGAUAUUUAAAUUCGCAGGUAUGUUGGGUCAAAAUGGGAACGUUUAACACGAUGCCCCAGGUAGAGAAUAUAAAGCACUCUGUACUCUAAAGAACCAGUGCAUCAACUCUCUGGGGCAAAAUGUCUGCCCAUAUCCUAUAGGUUAUCGUUGACAGUCAAACUGUAUCGCCGUUCAUCCGGCUGAAUCUAUAGCCCAUACAGUAACAAUCAAUGCUAUUAAAUUUAAUGUAAAUACGUUUUUGUUGUGGAUGUGCAUCAAAUAAUUUGCAACAGUACAUUAAGGAAAGAAUCAAUCAAUCAGAUGCUGUAUAUUGCGUUAAAGCAUACUCGUUUUUGUUUUUCUGCUUUUUGAACCCCAUGCGGUUCUUGUCUCCAGAUGUGAUUCUUGAAACGUGGCACAAUGUAAAUACUAUAUAUGUAUAUUGUGUCGCAGGCUUUGGCAUUGUCGAUUAGCUCAGCCACUUCAUUGACCACGGCGAUAAUUAAAAAAACUGAAUUAUAUUACUGUUAUCAUUUUCUUUCCAUUAAAACGACUAACAAUCAGUACAGCAGGGUAUAUGAGUCUUUUGUAUAAGUUGGAAUAAUAUUCGAACACGUAUCAACUAAUUCUCCGUAAAUGCAUGAAACUAAACCAGCGAAGCCCAAGAACAAAUAUUAUCAAAACAGAAUGAUAUUUUAUGAUCGUUUCUAUCUGUUACAAUUUUUAAGACAUAAGUAAAUAAAAGAAAUAUUUCAAAGGGAUAUCAAUCUAAAAACGGAUGAUGGAAUCCUACUCAGGGUCAUCUUGUAUUACUUCAUGAUAAGAUCUGCCUAUUGUCUAAAUAAGAUCGUGAUAUCUUCAAAAACAACAAGGGAAAAGGGGGGGGAGUCGAAAAAAAGCAAUGAAAGGGAGAUCACUUUUACAGGAAAUUAUUAAAUCCUACAAAGGGUCAGCUGAUAUUACUUCAUGAUGAGGUCUAUCGAUGGUCCAAAUUUGGCCAUGAUCUUAGAUAAGAUAGUCAAAAGCUUGCUUUUUGAAAUAUAAAAUCCUCCUAGAGAAGAAAUGUAAAUAAAAUGUAUAUUCUGAUUCUCUCGAAACUUUUGUUGCUAAGAGUGAAUAAAGGUAUGGAUGGAACUUUAUUUUCCUAUAGCAAUAUAUAAAUUGUUCCAGAAUCUGCAAAAUAGCGGGGACAAGAGAUUAUUAAUAAAACUGAUUAUGCUGAGUUAUUGAAACUGUAUAAUUGUGUUAUUUUAGAUUUUUUACAUCACUGGGUCGAUACCUCUGCUGGUGGACUAUCAGUCAGCUCAGUAGUCAGUACUUCGGUACUGACAUGAUUUAUAACAAACCUUUCUAAAAUUGUCUGUUUAUGAAUUUUGAAAUUAUAAAGAAACUAAGGUUUCAACUCCCUCAGGCAAAGUUGACCUUAGAUGAGUUUGGCUAUUUGUUUUAGGUAUUUUUGUCAUAUAGUUCUUCCACUGUUUCGGUACUUAUACAUCCCUCGGAUUUCAAAUGUUUGGCUUUGAGCGUUCCUGAUGAAGGUAAAUCCAGAAAAGCGCUUCGGACGCAUGAAAUUAUUAAACGUGUUAUUUUAAAUUUGUUGGCUAUUAUGCAGAUUAUAGAUGGAUACAAUGGGUGGCAUAAAAUAGUUAAGUUAAUCAAACAAUAUAAUCAAAAUUGUGAAAUGGAAUAUAUGUCAUCAUCAGAUAUAAUUCCCUCUCCUUUCUAUGGUUUGAGCUUUGUGUAUUUUAGCUGUCAACGGUACUUGACUACAAUAUAUACAAGGACGGAAAUUGUUUAAGUUCAACCGACAAUUCUUUCUAUAGCGAGCUUUUAAAUCUGAUUAUGAUCAAGUGGGUAGAGUCGAGUCUCUGUACUUAUGACUUCAAACUAUUUAUGACAAUGAACAUCGUUAAAAAUAUGCGAGUGGACAAAUAGUUGUUUACAAUUAACAGGUGACCUAUCUCGUACAAACUUACAUAGUUACUGCUAAUAAAUUUUAUUACUUAAUCAUCAAUUAAAUUUUACUUUAAACACUGUGAGUUCAUGAUUUUUUGAAAAAAGGAAGAAAUUGAGAUUUUUCUUAUCACGUUUUCCACUUCUCUGAUUGAUGAAUAUAGUUUUCUUGAAAAUUGAAUGUUUUCUGGUAAUUUUAAAGGGUGUGUCAAGGCGAUUACCGAAGCAAUUUUUUUAUGAAGCGCGAUUGUCUACAGUAACAGCAUAAAAUACAAGUUAAUGUUCGUAUUAGAAUGCUGAAUACAUAUAUUUAAGUCAUACCCAUACCUAGAAAGCUUCACAGAAGGGACAUAUUUCGUUGUUUCUUCUUUGAAGCCUAUCUGUAAAUAAGCAGCUCCUUUUGCGCAUGUGAAACCCGUCGUUUUCAUAAAAUAAAUGUUAAGGAAUAGACGCUGAUCAACGCGAAGUAAUUUGAUUUAGAAAUUUGAAUGAUUGAUUUAGAUAUUUGUAUGAUUGAUUAAGAGUUCUUCAUAAAUGAAAAUAAUAAAAGUUAAUUUUUUUAUUUUUCCUCCGGUGAGUGAAACUUAGAUAGCAGGAAUGAAUGUGAAUAAUGUUCCUAUGAAUGGGAUGCCAAUUUUUCAGAUUGGAUAAUAAGAUACGAUGUACCUUUUAAAAAAGUUCAAGAAUCACUUGUGUCAAUGAACUGGACAACAAAGGAAAACUGGAAUAUCCGGGAAAAUAUAAAACACACGAAGUUAGUGAACUUUAACGAACGACAUAUAUUGUUUGGAUACGGACCUUUUUUGAAUUACGGACCAGCAUAGAAGAGAGGGACGAAAGAUACCAGAGGGACAGUCAAACUCAUAGAUCGAAAAAAACUGUCAACGCCAUGGCUAAAAAUAAAAAGACAAACAGACAAAUAAUAGUACAGAUGACACAACAUAGAAAACAUAAGACUAAGCAACACGAACCCCACCAAAAACUGGAGGUGAUCUCAGGUGCUCCAGAAGGGUAAGCAGAAACUGAUCCACAUAUGGCAUUCGUCGUGUUGCUCAUAUUAUUACAAAUCCGGUACAUAGUCUAAUUCGGUAGGUCACAUUCGUGAAAAGGGAAGGGUAUUGUAGUUACGACAUAAGGAACAUAUCCGAUAUCAUCUGUGAAACGGUUAUUCCAUAACGGUCAACCAACUCGUGAUGGCGUCCGUAAAAUUUACGUAGGGAUGAUUUCAACUUCACCAUUUGGAACUCUUGGUUUAAUAUCUUCCUUGUGAGCAGCAAUCCUCUAUCAAGGAAAUCAUGAUAGGAAAUCAUAACUUUUACGAGUUUCAAUCAGAUAAAGAUUUUUUAACUGUUUGUAUGUGCCACAAUAAUUAGCGUAUUUCUACGUUAAAUUCUGCAAUUUCAAGCUUUUAUACCUCUUAAGAUAAAGUGACAGUUAUGCCAAGCAAGACAAAAACCUUGUUGUGACUUUUGCUGGACACAGCAAGAUAUUAUCUUCUACUGUAUAUAAAAACACACUGGUUCCAGAAGGCUAGGUUAUACAAAAACAGGAACUUCUGCUAUCAGUAACAGACAAAACAUCCCCUCUUAGUUCAAUUAUAAUCACUAUUUUAUUAUUCAAAAUCAACACACAAAAAUAGUUUUAUCGCGAUAUCAAGGCCUGAAACUUUUAUUUGAUACCAAAAUUACAAAUAUAUUUUACAUAAAUAAAAACUUACAGUAAUGCAUCUGACUUAUUUUGUUUGAAAACAUUACUACAUUAUAUAAUGUUUCAAGACUUGGGCAUGCAUUAUUGGUUCUAGACCUAACCAAAAUUUCGCAUUUUCGAACAGACUAAAAUCGAAAAUCUACAUUUGUCAUAAGAAUUGUAACAAAACUGAUGUAGUGCAAUUUCAUCGACAUGAUCGUGCAAUCGGGUCAAGCAGUAAAAUAAUUAAUCAUGAUAGCUGGAAGGAAUGGUACUUAUCUUCAGACUUUGAGUUUCUUUGCGUUAAUAUCAUUUCUGCAAUAUUAAAAUACAAUCAUCACAUGCGUUCUACCAAAUCUUAUUCGUAGACAAGAAAUUGAAUUCCGUAUUGUGAGAGGUGUUCAAAAAUAAAUCAAAAUAAAAAAGGGAGACACCAUUUCAUUUUUAUCGAAUAGAUACGUAGGGGAAAGUUGUUAAGAGCCGAUUUGUACACGUGUUUUACUUAUUGAAUCACCAUAAUCUGAAAAAUCUUAGUUGUUUCAAUAAUGUUGUAAUAAAGAACAAGACUGUCCCCUAUGGUUGCAAGUAUUGAUCAUACAAUAUAUUGAGGAAAGCGGUCUAGACUCUUUGUUAGUCGCAUUGCAGGAUUUUUGCCGAACAGCAAUGACAGGAAUUAGCAGUCGAUAUGCAGGUUUCCAGGUUGUUUGAGAUUUAAUCAUUAUUUUAUUUGCUUUGUCAUGCAAGCUUUUUUAAAAGCUUAUACUUGUUAAAUGAUCAUUCAUAUACUGAUAUCGAACCCAUGACUCUUUAUUUAGUAAUCUUUCUAUAAAAGUGACACCUACCAUCCACGUAUUCUAACAUCAAUCCGAUUCUGAUAGCAAAAAAUCUUAUUCUGAAGACUCCGUAUACAUACUAUAAGUAUUUUAUACUCAUCGAAAUAUAGGAUACAACAGAUACAGUUAAGUCUGCCUCAUAUCUUGACAUACAUUUAAAUCUUGACAAUGAGGGUUGGUUGAAAUCAAAAUUUACAAUAAAAGAGAUGAUUUCAUCUUUCUAAUUGUGAACACUCAAUUUCUAUGUAGCAACAUUCCAGCAAUGCCUGCAUACGAAGUAUAUAUCUAUCAGUUAAUACGAUAGUCAAGGGUUUGUAUUUCCUAUCAUGAGUUCUUUGAUAUAGGGUUGCUUCUCACAAGGAAGCCAUACCUUCGAAAAUAUUACGGACGCCAUCACGGAUUGGUUGACAGUUAUGAAAUAUUUGUAUCACAGAUGACGACAGAUAUGUUCCAAUGGUCGUAAUUUCGAUCCCGUCCCCCUUUCCCCGAAUGUGACCUACCGAAUUUACUUAUCACCGGGUGUGUACUAACAUGAACAACAUGACGGGUGUCACAUGAGGAGCAGGAUCUGCUUACUCUUCAGGAGUGCCUGAGAUCUCGUUUUGAUAUUUGACGAUCUGUCGUAAAAUACCAAAAGUACGUAAGAUAUGCUGUCGAAUGGUAAACGAUAUAGCCACCUGUACAUUGAUGCAUUAAAGAUAUUAGAUGGAUUGCCUAUGGUAACUAAUUAAUAUGUAGCUCAGACUUGGACAGUAGUAAUAAAAAAAACGACCGAGAGAUAGAUAGAGAGAGAGAUGCAAAUAAAGAGACAGUAUUUGUAUCCCUUAGAACGAUCUCACAUAUUUACAGAAUUUUAUGUGUCUGCUCAUUUAUAAUACCAACUUUCCAUUUGUCCCACCAUGCAAGGAUCAUAUCUUCACAUUUGUAAAAUUAUUUCAACGUGAGUUAUUUACCUUUAAGUUAGUCAUAAAAUAUAUGAAGCAUUUUAAGGACGAGAUCUUAAUUUCUAUAUUUCAUAAAAGAAGGUUUUACAAAGUGGUUCGACAUCGUGGAAAGACUAAAAAUAGAACUGUAACUGGAAAAUCAGGGCACCUUGCAUAAGGAAAGUCAACAGGAAUCAAGAAAAGAUAGCGUGACAUAUUCGAAUCACAAGAUAUCGGAUUAAAAUUCACAAGGGCAAAAUGACUUGAUUUGACUUAUAUGGACGUAUGAUAAUUUGUAAUAACAAACUUAGAGACUCCUUUUGAACGAUCAAGAAUCAUCUUUAUCGGGCAUAACUAUUCUUUAAGCACGAUUGGUUUGACGUUGUGGUCCUUUACGAUUACUGCAAGGCUCUGUCGUUUUUUUUUAAUGUUUCAGAACUAAACAAUGCUUACGUAUGGAGCACCAAAGAAGAUAUGUAGACACGACAGUUUAAAUCAUGGUUGUCAUGUCAAAACAGAAGUGCUGACCACUGGCUUUGUUAAACCCUCGGGAGGAAACAUCCACUAGCAAUGACACCAAUGUAGAGAUAGCAAAUAAACAAAUCAUUAAUAUCAGGGAAUUCCAAUGGCAUCGGCGAUUCAAUUAUCCUGCUGUGGUCCGUGUGAGUAUGAUGAAAUAGCUACGGAAGCGAGAAGAUGGUGUACUACUUGCAAGGGAGGAUUAUGUGUAGACUGUGAAAAGGCUCACAUAAAAAACAAAAUAUCGAAAAAUCAUAAAGUUAUCUCGAUUGAAGAUUACCGCAAGAUUGAAAAUGUUUCGAUCUCUUAGGUCUGUGAGCAUCAUGGAGAAAAUCUUGAGUGGUUCUGUAAAACUCACGACAAAGAACUGUUCAUGGUUUGUGUUUUAUCAAAUCACAAGUUAUGUUAUGAUGUUAUAACAAUACACGUUGCCUCAAACAAUGCCAGGCAAUCACCAGCAUUGUCUGACCUAGUAGAGUCAAUUGAUGAAACACGUAACAACCUUAAACAGUGCAUCACAAACCGUAAAUCCGCUUAAAAAAAUCAAAAAACGAGAGUUAGAAAUAGAAAAGAUGAUACUUGAAAUGCGGACAAAUAUAAACACCCACCUAGAUACAUUAGAAGACGCAUUGCUUUCAGAAUUAGUAUCAACUUCUCGUUCUUGUAAAUCAGAAUAUGCCAAAAUCCUUGAGAAGCUUAAAUCAGGUGAGGAAAAGCUUACCAAACUUAGGGAACAAACAUUGCACAUCAAACAAAUUUCUUCUGACAUACAGGUGUUUCUUGGAACAUAUCAGGGUAAUAAGUCAAUUGUUAGCGAAACCAAAGACAUCAAUGAUAUUAUAGUACUUCUAGAGAUUAUGAAUUGAAAGUAGAUUUCAAUAGUUUAAUCACAAAACUGUCAACAGAAGUUGAAAAUUUUGGCCAAAUUAAGAUAUCUGAAAAAAUCUCUCAGUUAGAUUUCAGAGACCCCAAAAUCGAAUAAGCUCAGAUAGGUAUCCCAGUCCCUACACCAAGAAAUAUAUCCAACAUACAGCUUCAGUUAAUCAAAACGUUUAGAAUAUCAAAGGAAGAAAAAAUGAAUAUUAGAGGCUGCAUCAUGUUAUCUGAUGGUCAUUUAUUAAUUUCGAAUUACCCAAGUAACUGUUUAAUCGAGUACAGCGAUGAAGGUCAAUUCAUUCGUAACAUUCCGGUCACUUGUAUGCCGCAUGGUAUUGCAGUGAUAGACCCUGUAUUGUUGUGACUUAUGUUAACGCAAAAUUCUUAGAAAUAAUGAAUAACAAUACUUUCCAAGUCGAAAAGAAAAUCACUUUGCAGAAAAGUGCUUGGGGGUAUCUCAAGAGAGUGAGAGACUUUAUGUCGUAAGUAGAGAAGCUACCAUACAAGUCACUGAUCUAUCAGGAAGACAAUUGGAAACAUUGAAAAUAGCAUCGGAUGGUGUAGCAAGCAUCACUACUAGCAGAGACAGGAUAUACUACACAGACUUCAAUAGUAGCAAAAUACACAGUUGUCUUAUGAUUGGAGAAGAGUUUUUGCAGUUUGAAAAAGCGAAUAUAUUCGGGGACCUAUCGGUGUAGCAGUAGACAAUCAAUGUAACGUUUACGUUCACGUCGUAGGUAGUAGCUCUAAUAAUCUAGCAAUAAUACAACAUGAUGGGAAUUACGGUAAGACAUUACUGACAGAAUCGGAUAAUCUGCAUGGUCCAACUGCUGUGUACUAUGACAAAGAGAAAAACACAUUACUUAUUUGCAAUAAAGGUGGGAAGGUUGCUUUGUACAAAGUCGUUUACAAAAGAUUCCAAAUCAUCGAAUGAGGUUCCUGUGUUCAUGAAAAUUCCAUACGAAAAAACCAUGGUUACAUAUAUUGACAUUGCGUUGCACCUUUUGUUAAAUAAAAUAUAAUCCAUUUUCUUUGA